Ictalurus punctatus (channel catfish) is the source of this 1002-nucleotide long non-coding RNA. NCBI's taxonomy places the organism in Eukaryota, Metazoa, Chordata, Actinopteri, Siluriformes, Ictaluridae. The record is from Ensembl.
UGAAGGAGAGUCAUGUGUGACCCAGAUGCAAUGCAGAAAAGAAAAGUGUCGUUGGAAAAGGCUCCAAAGGUUCUCCACCCACACAGAGAAAUAAAAACAACACUGUUCUAUGGUAUGCUCAGAUCUUUAGAUUUUGACGUGUCUAUGGACAUGCACGAUGGCGCCGUAUAGCUCGCAAGCAAUUUCGGCUAAUAAUGUUGAUCUAAUGUGACGAUCCGUGCAGGAAAAUCUCAUUCGGAGAUGGACACCCUGAAUCUCCUCGUGCUUCACGUCCAAUCCCUGCACCAGCUACCUUAGACUUAAUAGGUAAGAGCAAUAACCUUGUGUUAGUCAUCGACACAGCCUGAGAGUUUGUGUGAAAAUGGAAACGCAGAUACGCCACAGAACAAAAGAAGAAGAGUUCUACAGAACUACAGAGUGAAAAUAUGGAAAAUGAAUAAAGUAACGAAUGAUUAUCAACCUGUAAACCUGUCGAUUCAUGUAUACAUGACGAUGUUGCACGCUGUUAUGAAUAAUAAUUGAUGCAGAUGUGUUUAGUCGUGUCACAACCUCUCACAAACACUAACAUAUUAGUAUUAAAACUCUUCAUAAUCAAUAUACCUGGAUUUAAAUUUUGCACUCGUUUUAAAAGCUCUAUUAUGCUUUAUUUAUUAUGCUUUAUUAUUUUUUUUAUUAUUAUUAUUAGAAUUUAAGUUUCAAUGUCCAAUAAAGCCUUAUGUAGUGAAGUCUGUCUCAGAGGAUGAACUUCAACGCAGACUACGUCCCAAAUCCUCACACUACACUACUGUAUGACAAAAAUACUAAUAUAACUAGUGCAUGUGGCGUUAGUCUAUUUUUAACUCAUUGUUUGGUGCGGAUUUGGGACGCAGCCCAAGUGAUUAAAAUAUGCGCAAAUCAGAUGCGCAACUAUAAACGCAGCAACUUUCUCCUUAGGCCACAUGUGUCUUUUGUACUAAAUCGAUACACAGAUUGACUCUCUCUCUCUCUCUCUCUCUCUCUCUC